Molecule: non-coding RNA, 341 nt
Organism: Pogona vitticeps (central bearded dragon)
Lineage: Eukaryota; Metazoa; Chordata; Lepidosauria; Squamata; Agamidae
Source: RefSeq, a predicted model, not a curated record
ACUAAGAAUAGCUACAACAUGAAAUCAAUUCAGCACUCUUUCUUUCCAUACUGCAUUCCUCCUGUCCAGACAGAAAAGAAGUAGUAAAGGCCACACAACCUGGACUACAGAGCUCAACAGACCGUAGGAAGCAACCCAUAGGGUCACUAUGGGGCAGGGAAGUCUCCUCCAGAAUAUGGAAAACUUGCAAAAGCACCUCGCUCCAACUGAGCAUUCAGUCUCCUAUCAAUCCAUCCCGCUCCUCCACACUGUGAUGCGACUAUCUGCCGUUGUCUCCGAAAGACUGUUACUUAUCUGGACUUCCCGUUUUCUAAUUAUUUGAUGAAACUAAAAGCAAGAAA